Long non-coding RNA from Oncorhynchus tshawytscha (Chinook salmon), 716 nucleotides. The record is from Ensembl. NCBI's taxonomy places the organism in Eukaryota, Metazoa, Chordata, Actinopteri, Salmoniformes, Salmonidae.
GAACUCGUCCGUGUGAUCCGAAAAAAUGCCAAUUCUCAUAUUUUAUUUCGAUAUGCCUGGGCUGGUUAUGUAUUACCCAAACAGGAUGUGACAUCACGGGGGUCCAAACUAAAAAUAUGUCGCAGGACAGUCUGCCUAGGAUGUCCAGAACCCUGGAGGAUGCUGCCUCGCAGUGGGGGUCCAGACAUGUGAUGUUCGCUGGAGGAUGCAGGAGAUAACCACGCAGAAUGUCUCUUUUCUCUACCUCCUGGUUUGAGUAUGACCCCUCCCCUGGCUUGUGACCCUUCACCUGGAUAUCACUCCUGGCAUUUGGCUCUGGGACAGACUACUCAUGUUGAACCAUAGGCGCUGCACCAGAGCUGUGAUGAUGCUCCCUGAGGCCUCCUCUCUCACCCCGUGUUCUGACUCCCUGGGAUGUGUGGAGCUGUGAGGCCCACUGUCACCACCCGUCACCACCCAUGGCCCUGGAAGAGAAGAGGUGAUGGAGCAGUUUGUCUGUUGACCUUUCCCCUCUCAGUCAGAUCAGUUCUCAUCUCUGUUCCAUCCCCUUUGGCAACACCUGUCUCUCUGUGGCCUUCAUGUAUUUGCUCAUGGUCAUGCCUCAGUGUAUACAUGGUGUGUUACCUAUGUUUUCCUGGACACUUAAAGUUCAAGUGGAAUUUUUGCUGGCUAUCCAAUAGCAUUCUGUUAUUUGGCUUUAUAGAAUUAUAAAGGUG